Arachis ipaensis is the source of this 1048-nucleotide long non-coding RNA. RefSeq lists it as uncharacterized. The record is from RefSeq and is a predicted model, not a curated record. Lineage: Eukaryota; Viridiplantae; Streptophyta; Magnoliopsida; Fabales; Fabaceae.
UUUAUUUUCAUUAUGACAUUACCAUCCAAAAAUUAUUAUAAUAUAUCCCUUCUCUUCUUUGAUCUUUUGUCGGUGCAUUUAUGUGGGAGAGGUUCGCUCUAGACCAGUGGAAGAACAGUUAUAAUGUGUUCACUGUAAGGGAGUUGUCUUCAAUCAUCCGAAUGACUUAGAGGACCAUGCUCAACAAAAACACCAGGAGUACAAGGCUCUGUGCUGUUUCUGUGGUAAUCUUUUUCAGACGAAAAAGAAUCUCAAUCUACAUCUAAGAGAGUGCUUUCACUCUCAAGGAAAACACAAAAGGAGUAAUACCAUUGCUGUUUCUUCAAUCUAAGCUCAUGAAUGGAAAUGGCGCGCUAUACUAAGUUACAUCAUCAAAAAUGUGAUAUUAUUUGCCAUCUUUACGGAAACGGCUUUAAAAAGAAAAGGAAUUUGAGAUUUCAUCAAAGAAAGGUAAUGUUUAUUUUAUUUUCAUUACGACAUUACCAUCCGAAAAUUAUUAUAAUAUAUCCCUUCUCUUCUUUGAUCUUUUGUCGGUGCAUUUAUGUGGGAGAGGUUCGUUCUAGACUAGUGGAAGAACAGUUCACAUGUGUUCACUGCAAGGGAGCUGUCUUCAAUCAUCCGAGUGACUUAGAGGACCAUGCUCAACAAAAGCACUGAGAGUACAAGGUUCUGUGCUGUUUCUGCGGUAAUCUUUUUCAGACAAAAAAGAAUCUCAAUCUAUAUCUGAGAGAGUGCUUUCACUCUCAAGGAAAACACAAAAGGCAGUAAUAUCAUUGCUGUUUCUUCAAUCUAAGCUCAUGGUAAAGAAUCUUAGUGCUUUUUUUUUUUCUUUUGGUUCCUUUUAUUGUGCUAGCAUAUAACAACCCCUUUUGUGCUCAUGGUAAACUCUUGAAGAUGAAGAACAAGAAUGAAAGAAGAAGAGAGAGAGAGAGUGAAGGAGGAGAAUUUUCUGAAAAAUGAAAUGUAUUAGCUGAAUUGACUAGUUUGUUACAGUGCAUUAGUAUUUACAGUCUCUAACUCCGAAAGUUCCAAACCAUUUCUAAUGCUA